UCGAACCCGAGUCCCAGGAUUCCGGGAACUGGAGGGCAGCGCCGGCAGCCAAGGUAAGAUUCCUGAGCCCCGGGCGUCUCCUGCGAACCUCUGUGGUUGGGGUGGGCAGCGUGGCGGCCGCCGAGCCCCGCUGGCCGUCUCCGCAGAUGACCAGACUCGUCGCCGCGGCCGCACGUGUGGGUGCCUGCGGGAACCCGGAGACCCGGCAUCUCCAAGCCAGGCCUAGAGGCAGAGCAGGACCCCGGGUCUCUCGCACACACACAUCCUCCACUAGCCGGUGCCUCUGGAAAGCCUGCUCAGAUUCCCGAACAGCCAGUCCUAGGAGGAAAAAAAAAAAAAAAAAGAGUUUCUGUUACCCAAAGCGACUGCAGCGUUGGAGCUGAGUGCACAUUAGAUCCAAAACACCAUUUCUCAAACUUGCCUGCACGUUGGAGUCGCUUGGGAAGCACUGAAAAAUACUGAUGCCCCGUUUCCCUCUCACCCCACCCUCCUCCGAGACUCAGAUGUAAGUGGUCUGGGUUGGGGCCUGGGCAUCUGGAAAUUUAAAGCUUCCCAGGAGAUUCCAACUAGCCAUCAAGUCUAAGGACCCUUGAUCUAAAAAGGUUGUAGAAAAUAAAGCGGCGGACAGUUGCUGCAGCGAAGAAUGCUGCUGCUGCUUCUCCUCCUCCUUCUUCAGCAUGCCUUUGACAGGAAACAUCUCCUUUGAGCUGUCAAACCCAAGAUAACAAACCAACAUCCUCCCUCCCCACAGGGCUGGUUCUAAAGAGGUUGAACUUGAAAGUGGACAGGGAACAGAAAGACACAGAUGUAGAAUAUGAAAGAAGACUCUUGUGGGGGGGGGGGGUUCUCCUUAUCCUGAUCCCACAGGAAGUUCAGGGGGCCUCCUGGAGCUGCCAUUAUAAUUUUAGUAAAUGCUGCGCAUACAGCAAAGCGGUUGUGAGCAUGGGCUUGGAGUCCCCAGAGCCAGCCCUUCCUAGGCUGGAUGACCCUUGAAAAACUCAUGGAUCCACUCCUCGCCUGAGUUUCUUCAUCUGCAAAAUGGGAGUGGAGCAGAAAGGUCUGAGAGUUGCUGUGGGAAUGAUUGACCGCCAGGGUCUGCUUGUGCCGGCCACUGUGCUAAAUACUUUCUCUGCAUUGCCACACUGACUCCUCACCAUAGCUGAGGAGCCGGUGCUCAGAGAGGCCAAGAGACUUGCUCAGGGUUAAAUAAUAAGAGGCAGACCCUGUGUUUGAACCCAGGCAGUCUGAUUCCAGAGCCCCUGGCAAAAGUAAAAUAAUCUGGGCGUUCCCUUUAUGGCUCAGCCGAAACAAAUCUGACUAGCAUCCAUGAGGACACAGGUUCAAUCCCUGGCCUCGCUCAGUGGAUUAAGAAUCUGGCAUUGCUGUGAGCUGUGGUGUAGGUCACAGAUGUGGCUCAGAUCCCAAGCUGCUAGCUGCUGGCCUAUGCCACAGCCAUAACAACGUGGGACCCUAGCUUUGUCUGAGACCUACACCACAGCUCACAGCAACACCGGAUCCUUAACCCACUGAGUGAGGCCAGGGCUUGAACCCACAACUUCGUGGCUCCUAGUCGGAUUUGUUUCCUCUGGCCACGACGGGAACUCCCGUUUCUCGCAAAUUUGAUCAAAGAAAGAAGAAAGGAAAAAAGUGAAGAUGACAAGUGAAUUAUUGCUAUUAGAGGAAAACUGCCUUUAAAAGUUCCUCUUUUUUAUCUAGCCGAAAUCUAUCUCCCUGUGUCUGUCACCCCUUGGUUCUCAUACUUUCUUCUGGAGCCCCAGGGAACAAAUCCAUCCCCUUUUCAUCACUGCAGGCCUUCAGAUAUUUGAUGACAGGGAAGCAGUUGGGCCUCCCAGAUCUUCCUGGCUCUAGAUUAAACACUGCCAACUCCUUCUGCUUGUUUUCUAUUGCGUAUUCUUGGCAUCUCCCCCCAAUCUCUCUUCCUUAUUCUUUUUUAUUCAGCAGAACAUAUAAGGUUAUUUUGGUGGCUGUAGCACUCUUUUCACAGGCCUCCCACAGCCCAUUCUGGGCUCUGGGUAGAUGGCUGUGGUUGGGGUGAUUGACAUGACCGAGUAGCCGGCUAGCAAUGUCAAGAGAAGAACCCCUCAGGGCCAGCAUGGCAGGGGAGCUGGAGGCUGGCAAGGCUCAUCUGCAGGUCAGAGAUGGAGCUCCUUUUGUGCACGUGGAGCUAAUCAGGCUGAAAGGGACAGGCUAACCAAAUUCACAGCAACCUGGUGAGGAAGCCAGACCACAAAUAUAUUAAAUCACAGUGGGACAAGCACUGAGAAGCAGCCUGAGAACUUUAUGUCAGCCUGUCAGCACAUUCUUUCCCCCGUAGGAAAGUCACAUGGGUUGCCAAAAUCUAGUUAGGAGGUUGGUAUUCACGGAAUCAAAACAAGGUGAGCAAGAUGAAUGAUUUUAAUAGCCAAGAUGACUUAAGAUAUUUCCAUCCUCUGAGGGGCGCGCAAGGGUCCAGAAUGGCAGGGGGGCUGGUCUAAUCGCCCACCCCUGUGCUCACGAUAGACAUGACUAAUCAAUUACCAAAUCUUUGCCUUCCCAUUGCUCCCUGGACCAACCUUAAGAUCCUUAUCAAGAGAGGAUUCGGGGAAGCUCUGAGCUGCCUGUAAUGCUCAAGGGUUUCCAGAGCUCCCAUUACUCUGGUGGGAGGCAAGGUAAACUCCCAAAGAUGUGCUCCUUCUUACUGCUUUUCCUCAGCUCCUCACAUCUCACCAUUUCUCUCUAUGUAAUAUUGCUUCAGCUAAUGUUAAUACAGUUGGCUUUUUUUUUUUUUCCAUUGUCAAGCCUUGAUUUGAUUUCCAGGCCUUGCUCUUCCUGCUUUGUCCAGAGGCACAUCCUGUCCUAUCCUUAAGAACUUUAGCAGAUCAGUAAUCACAGACAUCUUAUGUACCUACCACUGAUUCACUGUCCCCACAUUUCGGGAUGACUUGCUGUGUACCUCCCAAGAACAGCCUCCUGCAACCAAAAAGCAGUUUUGUGGGAUGCUGAAUUUUGUUCCAAUAUAGAUUCGUCGGCAUCACAAUUUUCAGCUGUUCCUACGGUUAUCAUUUGUCCGUGUCUGGGGACUGGGGUGCAAGGAACGCUGGAGAGGGAUGGGGCAGGAGAGGAGGCUUAAGGCACUAAAUCCAACGAAUGACUGAAUUUGCUGCUCUGCUCAUGAGCCUUGGUUAGGCUUAUCCAAAGAGUUAGCAGUCCUGUUAUUUUGGAGCAAGCAGACCUUUGGCCAGCCUUUAAAAAAGUACGUUUCAUUAAAUAACAAGGACCUACUAUAUAGCACAGGGAACUUACACUCAGUAUCUUGAAUAACCCAUAAUGGAAAAGAACCUGAAAGAGAAUAUAUAUGUGUUAUAUAUGUAUGUAUGUAUGUAUCCUUUAGCUGUAUACCUGAAAUAACAACUUUGUAAAAUAGCUAUACUUCAAUUAAAAAAUAUACGGUUUAAACAGAAGAAAGGGUGGGGGAAAAAACUGUAAUUGCAGUGUAUACAUCUAAGGAUAACCUGACCCCCUUGCUGUACAGUG
This 3534-nucleotide long non-coding RNA is filed under the name Sus scrofa (pig). RNAcentral describes it as "lncRNA (ENSSSCG00060058463.1)". Lineage: Eukaryota; Metazoa; Chordata; Mammalia; Artiodactyla; Suidae. The record is from RNAcentral.